Boleophthalmus pectinirostris (great blue-spotted mudskipper) is the source of this 961-nucleotide long non-coding RNA. RefSeq lists it as uncharacterized. Lineage: Eukaryota; Metazoa; Chordata; Actinopteri; Gobiiformes; Gobiidae. The transcript has 3 exons. The record is from RefSeq and is a predicted model, not a curated record.
GGUGAACACGAGAGAACACGAUGAACAUGACGGAGGCGGAGCUGCCCAGGACCGUGCGCUCCCGAUGCCACAGGAGAACAGAGGCGGUGUCUACGGAGCAGCCAGAAAGUCUACGUGCAGAUACGGCUCAGUGCAACUUGAACAAUUCUACGAUUUCCAAAGAAUGUGUCCUGUCUGUGAACUUUUUUAUUUUAUUAAUCUCCAUUUGGCAAUGAACACCAAUGUAUUUUAUAUUCCAGCCUCGCUCACAUCUGAGCACGUGUAAUAAAUCCUCCUGCAUGUACCUCUUCUGUCCUGUAGAGGUCAGACAAGAGUCACACCAGUGUUCUAUGUUCACAGCAUGGAUCUAUCCUAGUGGAUCUAUUAGGUUCACAGUGUGGGUAAAGGACUCUGUUUUGUUACUUAACGGUGCAUUGGACAAAAAUUUGAGUAUCGAAUAUAUUGGUAUAACUGUAAAAUAUGCAAGUGCUGUUUAAAAAUAUGAAUGAUUCAAACAAUGGUAUGCAGGAUACUUUCGGGGGUUUUUUUUGGGGGUUUUUUUUUGUAAAUGUAUUGUUUAUUUGCAGCAAUUUAGUAACCAGAACUUGCAGUAACCUCAUUUUGGUCAUUAUUAUUCCCCCCUACUUCUUGUCUGCUUUCACUACUGACUAACAACCCUCUGAAACUCUCUGAAAGCAGACCAGGCAGAAGCUACAAAAUACUCUUGUCCGGUGGUGGGAAAAGUACUGCAAAUGUGUACUCAAGUAAAAGUACAGUUACAUAGCUAAAAUGUAUUCCAUUACAAGUGCAAAUACUGCUGCCAAAACUGUACUUAAAGGUCCUAUAGUACGAAAAAUAGAUUCUUGUAAGCUUUGAGCCAUGUUCUAAUGCUAUUACAUCAUCCAAAACAUACCUGGUGUUCUGUUUUGUUUCAUUCAAACAUAUUUGUGUAAUCCUUAAUUACAGAUGUGGAACAGUUGUA